RNAcentral lists this ribosomal RNA (496 nucleotides) under uncultured bacterium. RNAcentral's name for it is "partial 16S ribosomal RNA". It matches the Rfam family "Bacterial small subunit ribosomal RNA", at positions 28 to 506 of the family's 1533-position model. The record is from RNAcentral.
GACGAACGCUGGCGGCGUGCCUAAUACAUGCAAGUUGAGCGCUGAAGGUUGGUACUUGUACCAACUGGAUGAGCAGCGAACGGGUGAGUAACGCGUGGGGAAUCUGCCUUUGAGCGGGGGACAACAUUUGGAAACGAAUGCUAAUACCGCAUAAAAACUUUAAACACAAGUUUUAAGUUUGAAAGAUGCAAUUGCAUCACUCAAAGAUGAUCCCGCGUUGUAUUAGCUAGUUGGUGAGGUAAAGGCUCACCAAGGCGAUGAUACAUAGCCGACCUGAGAGGGUGAUCGGCCAAAUUGGGAAUGAGACACGGCCCAAACUCCCACGGGAGGCAGCAGUAGGGAAUCUUCGGCAAUGGACGAAAGUCUGACCGAGCAACGCCGCGUGAGUGAAGAAGGUUUUCGGAUCGUAAAACUCUGUUGGUAGAGAAGAACGUUGGUGAGAGUGGAAAGCUCAUCAAGUGACGGUAACUACCCAGAAAGGGACGGCUAACUACGU